This is a long non-coding RNA of Magnolia sinica, 253 nucleotides long. RefSeq lists it as uncharacterized. The transcript is spliced from 4 exons. The record is from RefSeq and is a predicted model, not a curated record. NCBI's taxonomy places the organism in Eukaryota, Viridiplantae, Streptophyta, Magnoliopsida, Magnoliales, Magnoliaceae.
UUCUCAGUUUCGUAUUGUUUUGCUGGUGGUUGCUUGCUAACUUUUAGGACUUGAUCAGAAGAAGGUAUUUGAUGUCCUCUACUAGAUAGCAGACAUCCCUUCUUGGAAGCUUACAAGAUCAAGAUAAUUCUUGAAGAGAUGGAUUUCCUUAGUGUUCUUCAAAUGAUUCCUUCAUGUUUUCAACUAGCAAUGACAUAAUUAUCUGAGGCCUGAUAUCAAGAGAGGAAAAUUCUCCAGUGUAGAAGAGUGGAUC